Molecule: ribosomal RNA, 379 nt
Filed under: uncultured bacterium
Lineage: Bacteria
Description: partial 16S ribosomal RNA
Rfam family: Bacterial small subunit ribosomal RNA
Source: RNAcentral
CCUACGGGUGGCAGCAGUAGGGAAUAUUGCUCAAUGGGCGAAACCCUGAAGCAGCAACGCCGCGUGGAGGAUGACGGUUUUAGGAUUGUAAACUUCUUUUGUUAGAGAAGAUUAUGAUGGUAUCUAACGAAUAAGCACCGGCUAAUGCCGUGCCAGCAGCCGCGGUAAUACGGAGGGUGCAAGCGUGACUCGGAAUCACUGGGCGUAAAGAGUGCGUAGGCGGGGUGAUAAGUCAGAUGUGAAAGCCUGUAGCUUAACUACAGAACUGCAUUUGAAACUGGUUGUCUGGAGUGUGGGAGAGGUAGGUGGAAUUCUUGGUGUAGGGGUGAAAUGCGUAGAGAUCAAGAAGAAUACUCAUGGCGAAGGCGACCUGCUGGAA